UCCUAGUCCUUACUGCUCUUCUGCCUUGGAACUGAUGUAUUGAUUCCAAGACAGAAGGGAAAGGUUUUUUCAAAAUUAGAAAGAUAUAUUUCUAUUAUAAUAUCCAAGAUUUAGAACUGGAAGAAGUUCCAGAGGUUGCUUCACAGAGGAGGAAAAAUGGUGACAUGGCCAAGGUCACACAGAAAGUACAUGGCUGAGUCAGGAUUCAAACUCAGGUUUUCUGACUCCUGAUUCCUCUUCCUAACCUGUGUUCUCCAUAUGUCUGAUUUUGAGUGUUGUGUUAUUUCUAAAAGCUCUAACCAAGCACAGUAAAUUAAGGAAAACCAAGUAUUUGGCUAGACAAACUAAGUCAAGAAGCAUUGGUUACAAGGAAGUUUUGCUGAAUACAAGCCUAUCUUUUCAGAUGGGCAAAUGAAUGAGACACUUUGUAUCAUGACACCAUCACGCUGAAGGGCCCCCAUCACCAAGAUAACAGUAGCACACCAAGUUCUCUUUUCAAACACUUGGGUAGACUCAUUUGUUUUUCCUUAGUGGUCACUGUAGCCUUUCUGUUUCUUCACUUUCUAGGACAAGGCUUUGGAGUAUCCAAGCUCUGCUCCCUGCCCCCUCCUCCUCCACCCUGGGAGGAAAGGGAGGUGCCCCUCGUGAGGGGCAUUUCUGCAGCCUGGGUUAUCCAACCUCCCAUCCCUGCCCCAGCUCUUCAUCCUGGAAGGGGCACCAAGGGCAGAAUGGAUAAAUCACCCAACUGCGUCAGAGGACUUAGAUUCCAGGAGGGAGAGCUAGAGAUGACUCCAGAGAUGAUGAAAUAAAGAGGCCACAAAGUUCAUGGGAAGUGUCCAACUUUGAAUCACCAGACACCUGGGUCUCAGUCCAGGCUUACGCUUCCCAUCUACGUGACUGUGGGCAACUCACUCAACCGAACCUCAGUUUUAUCUUCUUUAAAAUGGGGAGAAGACCACUUGGAGAGCCUACCUCCUAAGAGUGGGAUGAGGACACUGAGGCUGAAGAGGAUGAAGUGUAACUUGGUGCAUUAAGGACCAAGACAGGAGUCUCUGGUUCCAUGAAAGUUGACCUGACUGAGGAUAGUGGGGAACUGAGAUCUCCAAAGACUUUCCGGUGGCCACACAGGCUGAUCUAUGGCCAAGGCAAGAUAUGGCUCACCCCCAUGCCAAGCCCAGCCCUCCGGAGAGAGGGUAGGAAGGCAGCUAAGCAGGAGAGAAUAAAGGUUAUUUUGUAUGGAGUCCUUUACAUCCAUUAUUUUAUUAUUUGUCCCAGCAUGCUUAUAGAGUAGCUAUU
This is a long non-coding RNA of Monodelphis domestica (gray short-tailed opossum), 1296 nucleotides long. RefSeq lists it as uncharacterized. The record is from RefSeq and is a predicted model, not a curated record. Lineage: Eukaryota; Metazoa; Chordata; Mammalia; Didelphimorphia; Didelphidae.